This 367-nucleotide ribosomal RNA is filed under the name uncultured organism. RNAcentral describes it as "bacterial SSU rRNA". It matches the Rfam family "Bacterial small subunit ribosomal RNA", at positions 526 to 896 of the family's 1533-position model. The record is from RNAcentral.
CGAAGGAUGCAAGCGUUAUCCGGAUUCAUUGGGUUUAAAGGGAGCGUAGGUGGACUGAUAAGUCAGUGGUGAAAUCUUUGGGCUUAACCCAAAAAUUGCCAUUGAUACUGUUGGUCUUGAGUACAGUUGCUGUGGGCGGAAUAUGACAUGUAGUGGUGAAAUACAUAGAGAUGUCAUAGAACACCGAUUGCGAAGGCAGCUCACAAAGCUGUAACUGACACUGAGGCUCGAAAGUGCGGGGAUCAAACAGGAUUAGAUACCCUGGUAGUCCGCACUGUAAACGAUGAUUACUCGCUGCUAGAUGGCAACAUUUAGUGGCUUAGCGAAAGCGAUAAGUAAUCCACCUGGGGAUACGCCGGCAACGGUG